RNAcentral lists this long non-coding RNA (369 nucleotides) under Ananas comosus (pineapple). RNAcentral describes it as "long non-coding RNA (ACOM_LNC042118)". Lineage: Eukaryota; Viridiplantae; Streptophyta; Magnoliopsida; Poales; Bromeliaceae. The record is from RNAcentral.
AUACAUUUACUCAUUCAUUCACAUCACAUUUUUCUUUAACCAAAAUACAUUGUUUGCACCAUUCUUACAUUACCCAAAAUAUAAUUUAUAUUUCUUGCUUUACAUUAUUUACAGUUCAACACCUACAGUUGAGAAAACCAAAAUGUAGGGUAUGCCUAUAUCUUGAGGGCCGCUAGCUACGGCGCAACACCCUUGCCUCGAUCCUCCGCCGCCCCGCUCGCGCACGGAUCUGCAGGGUUAGUGGUAAUGAGAACUAGAACGAAGUUCCUAGUGGGUUCGGCCGCCGACCACGCCGAUUCGCCCACUAGGUCUAAUUCAGGCAUAUGUAUUUCAAUAAAGAAGGAUAACAAACCAACUAAUGCACUUCUA